GCUAAUUUGGACUGGAGCAAGAGUUUCAGAGUGGUGUACUUAAAUCUUAAAGAAGAGUUCUUUGGUGUUCUUGAUGGUUUGUGUCCAAGCUUGAUGGAAAUCAACGGUGGGUUGAUGAUGGUUUGUGUAAAUGGAAAUCAACGAAUUUUAAUGAGGGAGACUCCCUCAUAGACAUUCCCGUGAGUAUCCUCUGCUAUGAGGACACCAGCACUGCAAGCACAGCAUCGCCACAACAAACCUCCUCAAGAGUGGGGAUCAUCCUAGAAGGCAGCCUUGUAAUGGAAGCACUCACCAACGUACCUCAGGCAAUUGUUGGCAAAGACACAUUUUGAUAAUUUUAUUAAAACAAGGUCUUACUGUUAUUUUGGAUUUGCAUCUGGUAUUUCACACAGCAUCAUUGUUAAUACAUAUUUGUUGCUUUGUUGUGUAUCUAAAUAAAAUAAAUGAAAUGUA
Long non-coding RNA from Micropterus salmoides (largemouth bass), 453 nucleotides. RefSeq lists it as uncharacterized. The record is from RefSeq and is a predicted model, not a curated record. Lineage: Eukaryota; Metazoa; Chordata; Actinopteri; Centrarchiformes; Centrarchidae. The transcript is spliced from 3 exons.